RNAcentral lists this ribosomal RNA (563 nucleotides) under uncultured bacterium. RNAcentral's name for it is "bacterial SSU rRNA". It matches the Rfam family "Bacterial small subunit ribosomal RNA", at positions 338 to 916 of the family's 1533-position model. The record is from RNAcentral.
CCUACGGGAGGCAGCAGUCGGGAAUUUUGGGCAAUGGGCGAAAGCCUGACCCAGCAACGCCGCGUGAAGGAUGAAGUAUUUCGGUAUGUAAACUUCGAAAGAAUGGGAAGAAUCAAUGACGGUACCAUUUAUAAGGUCCGGCUAACUACGUGCCGGCAGCCGCGGUAAUACGUAGGGACCAAGCGUUGUUCGGAUUUACUGAGCGUAAAGGGCGCGUAGGCGGCGCAACAAGUCACUUGUGAAAUCUCUGGGCUUAACUCAGAACGGCCAAGUGAAACUGUUGUGCUAGAGUGCAGAAGGGGCAAUCGGAAUUCUCGGUGUAGCGGUGAAAUGCGUAGAUAUCGAGAGGAACACCAGAGGUGAAGACGGGUUGCUGGGCUGACACUGACGCUGAGGCGCGAAAGCCAGGGGAGCAAACGGGAUUAGAUACCCCGGUAGUCCUGGCCCUAAACGAUGAAUACUUGGUGUCUGGAGUUAUUAGUGCUCCGGGUGCCGUCGCUAACGUUUUUAGUAUUCCGCCUGGGGAGUACGCUCGCAAGAGUGAAACUCAAAGGAAUUGACGG